UGGCAAAGAUGCCGGCAGGCGGGCAGGAGGAGGACUGGAGCUGGAGGAGUACACUACACUAGUGCGCCCCGUAGAAUCUCCUUGCCCUGUCCGCUGUCCUCCCCAGUCCAGUCCUGCCCGUGAUCGUCGGGUACCACCGUAGACUUGACAAUUGAAGUCUUCUGAAGGGAUCACGCGUUGGAUCGUGUCACCGAGAAAAAUUCCCCUGUCACCGAAUGCUGACAGGUGUCGGUGUCGAUCUGCUGGACUUUUAACAGCAACAGCCACCCGAAUCUCCUUGCAUUAUUAUUCUCAGCAGCAUCCGCCUCUCUCCAAAAUUCCAAAAGAGAUAAAAGAAAGAUUAUUACUUGUCUCUGUAUAAUCAAUCUACUGGAGUACUCUCUAGCUAGUAUAGUGUAUAUAUAUAUAUACUACUGACCUUAUCUGCGUGCCACACUCUGGUCAACGGCACGCCAUGCGCCCGCGCGGGCCCUGUCAUGAUCGAUCAUGAUCUCCGGUUGGCCCAGAUCGUCAACUCAUCGACGACGAAACACCAUAGUACACACCUAACCUAAUUUAAUGAGAGGUCUGGCUGAUGCGACGAUGCCUAGCUUGCUUGCGAUCUCUCAGAGUUGACCAGACGAUCGAAUGAACUCCUCCUCAGCUCUUCCUGCUGCUGCUGCUGCUGCCGCCGCCGCCGGUGAUGGUAAAGAACACUACGUGUGUACAGCCACAGCAUGGCAAAUCAAGAGUAAAUUAAA
RNAcentral lists this long non-coding RNA (740 nucleotides) under Zea mays. RNAcentral describes it as "long non-coding RNA (ZMAY_LNC003546)". The record is from RNAcentral. Lineage: Eukaryota; Viridiplantae; Streptophyta; Magnoliopsida; Poales; Poaceae.